CUUCUGCAGCCUCAUCUCUGCCAUUCUUCACCUUCUGUGCUCCAACCCAAUCUGGUUUUCUUCUCAUGCUUUGAACACCCCAAGUCUGUCUGCUUCAGGAGCUUCGUACUGGCUAAUCAUUCACCAUAGCAUACUCCCAUCUAUACGGCUGGCUCUUAUAUUAUGGGUCUCAGCUAAAAUGUCAUCCCUUUAAAGAGACCUUCUUGGACCACCCCAGCCAUUCUCUAUCCUAUUUCUCUCUUUUAUUUUCUUUGAAGCACUUACCCACUUUCAGAAACUAUCUGGCUUGCUCAUGUGUUUGUCUCUAGAUUGUCUACUUCCCCUGCUAGACUAUACUCUCCACAAGAGAGCAAAGCUGUGUCUGUUGCAUUCACUGUUGUCUUCCCAGAAGCAAACAGCAUGCUGGAGACCCUCAAAUACAUGUGAAAUGAAGGGACACCUUGUGUUAUUUCACCUGUUUCCACCUGGUUCCCAAGUGGCAAGCUUGCAUUGAGGUUACAAAGUGGCAAAGCUGGGAUAUCACAUGAUGUCACCAUGAUGCUAUAUGAAAUGUAACAUUAAUUGAGUACCUAUGUGACCAGUUCUUUAAUUCUGUAAGUGAACUCUCAAAAAACCCUAGGUAAGUAUUAUCAACUCGAACUUUAACAGAUGAGGAAACUGGAAUUUUUUUAAAAAUGACUUAACCAAACAUCACAGAGCUGUAAACCAGGAUUUGAAUGGGUGAGCUGCACUCAGCCUGCAUCUCAAGUCAGUUUGCCUCUUACUCCAAGAAGCCACAGUUGAUCCUGACCACAUCACAUAUGAGUUGCCUGGAUUGCAGUCAUUCAUUCACUAAGCAUCUUUUAGGAGGUCACAUGCCAGGCACCGUGUUAGGUAAUGAUUUCUCCAAGUCACAGGAGCCGUGGUUCUGACUUUAGAAAGUUUCUCAUCUGAUGGGAGGGCAGGCAAGUAAAUCAGUAAGGGUGGUCCCUGUCGGGACACUGGUUGAGAAAUACCCAGGGACACUCUGGUUGUGAAAUACCCAAAGUGCAAAGUGACAGGGACUAGAGGCAUCUCCACUGGACCAGAGAGCUCUGGAUUCAUCUUGAGCUAAGUCUCUGGAGGUAGGUGUCAGCUACAAGGAGAAAAGCUGUAUAUUUUGAGAUAUGGGAUGCAGGGCCUUUUAGUUCCAUAAAUAAGAGAACUAUGGUGUGAAUACCACAUGCCCUGGGCUGAACUAAGUGGGCUCUAGGGGAAGGUAUACUGGGCAGGGAGUUUGGAGAACUGGUUUCUGUCUAAUCCUUCUCUAACUCUGUGACCUUGAAUGCAUCAUUUCCCCUCUGAGUCUCAGAUUCCCUUUCUGGCUGGCAUUUAACGAAACCUAAAUAUUCUAGACCUUCUACUUGUUCCAUAAGUGCUCAGUCCUACACUCACUGUCCUCUGGCACCAAUAUACUGAUUACUCAUUUUAUGCCCAGCAGAGCACUGUGUGUUUUGAAAUAUACAAAUAGUGGGAAAUGAAAUCUUUGUUCUGGAUGCAGUUAUAAUUUGGAAAGCGAGGAAAUAAAUUAUAACAAGGGGAAAAAACAGACACAGAGGGAUUGAAAUGCAUAACAAUAGAGAUGAAACAUGAAGAGUGAUAAAUGAAGAUUGAGUGUGCACACCUUCUGGAGGAGCCCUGAUUGAGUAUUUUAACACAGAAGUGGGUGAGAGCAAAGUUGUAUCAGAGUAGGACAAUGACACCAAGCCAGAUGGUUAUCAAAAUCCACAGGAACAAAUGAAGAGAACCAGAAAUUGCAAAUAAGAAGGACAGAGUACCAGAGAGGAGAGAGAUGUACAGAGAAUUAUGGAGGUGGCUUCCCUUGAGUAUGCAGCUAAGUAAUGAUUAAUGCAUACAUAUAAGAAACUACUGGAUGACAGAGAAAGAACCACAAGCAAUUUAAAGAAUACUACUAAAGUCAUGCCGUGUGACUUCUGAAGCUAGCUCCUAAGAAGUCCUUGCAGCUUCUGCCUGCGACUCUUAGAACACUUGCUUUGAAGGAUGCCAGACGCUGUGUUAAAAGUCUGAGCACUCUGAAACCACCAUGCUGUGAGGAAGCCCAAGCUAACCACAUGGGCAAAAAAGAUGCCCUCUGACUGCCACCAUUUGAGACACUCUAAUUAAGAACUGCCUCAUUGAGCCCAUGAGGCCCUGUGAAUGAUAGUAAUAAAUUGUUUUUAACCAC
Molecule: long non-coding RNA, 2203 nt
Filed under: Pan troglodytes (chimpanzee)
Lineage: Eukaryota; Metazoa; Chordata; Mammalia; Primates; Hominidae
Description: lincRNA
Source: RNAcentral